RNAcentral lists this ribosomal RNA (253 nucleotides) under uncultured bacterium. Its description in RNAcentral is "partial 16S ribosomal RNA". It matches the Rfam family "Bacterial small subunit ribosomal RNA", at positions 524 to 776 of the family's 1533-position model. The record is from RNAcentral.
GACGUAGGGGGCCAGCGUUGCUCGGAAUUACUGGGCGUAAAGGGUUCGUAGGCGGUGUGGCAAGUCGGGAGUGAAAUCUUCAGGCUCAACUUGGAGGCUGCUUCCGAAACUGCCGCGCUAGAGUGCGAGAGAGGCCAGUGGAAUUGCAGGUGUAGCGGUGAAAUGCGUAGAUAUCUGCAGGAACACCCGUGGCGAAGGCGGCUGGCUGGAUCGCAACUGACGCUGAGGAACGAAAGCUAGGGGAGCAAACAGG